This 1157-nucleotide long non-coding RNA is filed under the name Rattus norvegicus (Norway rat). RNAcentral's name for it is "long non-coding RNA NONRATT015252". The record is from RNAcentral. Lineage: Eukaryota; Metazoa; Chordata; Mammalia; Rodentia; Muridae.
UUUGUUCUUCUAUUUCUGACAGUGGCUAGACUGUCCUAUAAGCCUGUGUGUCAGGGGUGCUGUAGACCUGUUUUCCUGUUUUCUUUCAGCCAGUUAUGGGAACAGAGUGUUCUGCUGUCGGGCGUGUAGUUUUUCCUAUCUACAGGUCUUCAGCUGUUCCUGUGGGCCUGUGUCCUGAAUUCACUAGGCAGGUCACUUGGAAAAGGAAGGUUUGUCUUACCUGUGGUCCCGAGGCUCAAGUUUGCUCGUGGGGUGUUGCUUAUGAGCUCACCACUGUGGCAGCAACCAGGAAGAUCUGCCAAUUAUGAUGCUUUUUAACUUGAGAGUUUAGAACUGGGCAUGAUGAGUCACACCUAUAAUCCCAGCACUCAGGAUGUUAAGGUUCCAGUUUAUCGUCCCUAAAGAAUGGAACAGCAGAUACAGACCUGUGUGCAUUCAUCUGGCUGGAACAGGAGACCAUCAUUAUUGGAGGCGCAGAACGCUCAUGGCUCGUCCCAUGAUUAAGGAGGCCAGAAUGGCUUCAUUGUUGCUAGAAAACCCUUAUUAUAUCCUUUUGUGAUACUUAAAACAUUUCUUUCUCUCUUUGUUUAUAUAUUUACUCUUCAAAAGAAGAACAUCCGGUGCUCUCAGCCAAUGAGCCAUCUCUCCAGCUCCCAUGGAAGCCCAAGGACCAAGUAAGAUCCAGCUUAAAAAAUGUGUCUGACCUAUUUGUGAUGGGAGGCGCUCUUAUUCUUGAGUCUGCAGCUCUCCUGCACUGGCUGGAGAGGGAAGGUUAUGGACCUCUUGGGAUGACUGGGAUAUCCAUGGGAGGACAUGUGAGUCUUUGCAGCUUUUUUUCAUUACCAUCAUAUUUAUAAAUAGGAGUGAUUUUAAUUGUACUUGAAGCAUGAAUUUAACGUCAGUGAAAGUAGGAAGUAGAGACAGUUCCAGUAAGAAAGUAAUGUUAUUUUGUAUAAUUUAUGUAGACAAGCUGAUAUUGUACAACUUCAGGUAUAGCUCAGACUUUGGAUUUCGUGUUUUAUUAAAAGUUGAUUACAGCUGGACAGUGGUGCUGAACACCUUUAAUCCCCCAUUUCCUCCCAGAUGCCCACUAACUUCCUACCCACCCAAUCCACACCAUUUAUUUUUCUUUGAAAACUGAGCAGAGUCAGCUGGUA